This 203-nucleotide long non-coding RNA is filed under the name Lathyrus oleraceus (garden pea). Its description in RNAcentral is "Pisum sativum (pea) long non-coding RNA (PSAT_LNC038766)". Lineage: Eukaryota; Viridiplantae; Streptophyta; Magnoliopsida; Fabales; Fabaceae. The record is from RNAcentral.
AAUGAAGAUCAUCAAGAAGAAAAUGUGGGUUGAAAUAAAAUUUGAGCCUUAUAUCCUUUGUUUCUUAAACCAUGAACCAAACCACGUUACAACCUUCAAAAGUCCUAAUUAAAGCUAAGUUCACUAUGAAAGUGCCGCGUUGCGAAAAAUACAGAGUCACCACCGGGUUUUAUUUAUUCCAAAGGAAAGGGAAAAUAGCGAUA